AUGAGAUUCAAGCAUCAAAGUCCAGAGGUGGACAUUUUGUGCAAUCCCAUGGAAGCCAAUGCAUGGAAAAUCACAUGACCAAUGGCUGCAGGACUGUAUGUUAGCGAAGCUGGCCUACCUGUAUCUGGACCACAGAGGGGUGACCCUGGGGAGAAUUAUGAACCAUGAUUGUGUCUAGAAUGUUACUUGAAGCUUGAGUUGUCCUUUCUGUGGAAGAAUUUAUCAAAGAAAAAUGAUCCAUCGUCUUCACUGCCUCAAGGGAUAAACUGGGUGUAGAUUCCAGCAGAGUUGCUGAGUAUAAACCCAGUUAUCUUAUCACCAUGUCCAACAAAAGCCAAGCCAGCAAAGAAGAAUUUGUGGGGAUGAUUGGGUUACCCUUGAGUACUAUUUACUGUGUAACAUAUUCUUAGGCCUCUAUACAUUGGAAAGGCAGGGAGAAGCAGUUGGCAU
Molecule: long non-coding RNA, 450 nt
Organism: Mauremys mutica (yellowpond turtle)
Lineage: Eukaryota; Metazoa; Chordata; Testudines; Geoemydidae
Exons: 4
Source: RefSeq, a predicted model, not a curated record